CAGCAGCCACGGGAAUACAGAGGGUGCGAGCGUUAAUCGGAUUUACUGGGCGUAAAGCGUGCGUAGGCGGCUUUUUAAGUCGGAUGUGAAAUCCCUGAGCUUAACUUAGGAAUUGCAUUUGAUACUGGGAAGCUAGAGUAUGGGAGAGGAUGGUAGAAUUCCAGGUGUAGCGGUGAAAUGCGUAGAGAUCUGGAGGAAUACCGAUGGCGAAGGCAGCCAUCUGGCCUAAUACUGACGCUGAGGUACGAAAGCAUGGGGAGCAAACAGGAUUAGAUACCCCGGUAGUCCCUGUCUCUUAUAC
RNAcentral lists this ribosomal RNA (301 nucleotides) under uncultured bacterium. Its description in RNAcentral is "partial 16S ribosomal RNA". It matches the Rfam family "Bacterial small subunit ribosomal RNA", at positions 509 to 807 of the family's 1533-position model. The record is from RNAcentral.